AUCACAUGACCGACUUUAGUUACUUAAUCACCAGCUGCUCCAGAGGUCAAAAUGAUACAGCAUGGCCCAAGGUCCCCACCAUAAAUCACAUUAUUAGCACAAACUAUCUGGCCUGGUAUGGCCCAAGGCCUGAGGUAUACAAAGACACCCCUACUUGGGAGGAUAUUCCAAGGACUUAGAGGUUAUCUCCCAGGAGCCCAUUAAGGCCAGUUUUUUCUUUGAGAUGUGCUGGGUUUGGACACUUCAAGCCUGCUGAGUUAACCCUUAUAGCACAGUCCCCAAAUGCUGAGGGACCAACUGGGCCUACAAUAAGUUUGUAUCUUUAAGGGUUAAGGUGUUUUACCCAUACCUCCUUGCCUUAUAUCUCAUGAUAAUAUGAGGCUUUUGGAAGGCAGUGACUUAUUGUGGCUUGGGGCAUGGGUUUUUGGAGUCAGGCUGACCUACUGGCUGUAUGGCUUGAGACUUUGUCUCUUCAUCUGUAAAAUGGGGAAGUUAAAACUUCAUGGUGUGUAUGUGUGUAUGUGUGUGUUUAGACAGAAUCUCGCUCUGUCACUCAGGCUAGAGUACAGUGGCGUGAUCAUAGCUCACUGCAGCCUCGGUCUCCUAGGGUCAGGUGAUCCUCCCAUCUUAGCCUCCUGAGUAGCUGGGCAUGUGCCACCACACCUGGCUACUUUUUAAAUUUUUUUUUUUCUGUAGAGACGAGGUCUUUCUAUGCUGUUCAGGCUGAACUUCAUGGGUUUAUUGGGGAUGGCUAAUGGAUGACAUUGGCGGUGGUCCUUGAUACCAGAUAAGCCCUCAGUGUGAAGCAGCUCUUAUUUUUCCUUGUCUUGAGAUUGCUCUGGAAUGGAAAUUAGGCUUUUUUGAAGGUGUGACCCUUUUUGUUCAUUUCUUCAGCAGUUACUUUUUAUUUUUUAAAUGUUUGACACACAGUCUCUGAUAAAUGAUCAUUCACCAAUCACCGAUUACUCUCCUUGCUCUGUUAAGUGUGACACUGUCCCUUUGAGAAUCUGGCGACAGCUAUGUAUCCCAUCACCACACACCCCAAAAAAAAAAUUUAUGUCUGGUUCCAGGAGUUACCUUUUAUGAGAAGUCCAUCUGUGAAGACCCUGGAUGUUCAGAGAACUUCCUGGGAAAACACUGAAAGAAAAUAAAGAGGCCGGGCCCGGUGGCUCAUGCUUGUAAUCCCAGCACUUUGGGAGGCUGAGGUGGGCAGAUAAGCUGAGGUCAGGAGUUCCAGACCAGCCUGGCCAACGUGGCGAAACCCCAUCUACUAAAAAUACAAAAAUUAGCUGGGCGUCGUGGCGCAUGCCUGUAGUUGCAGCUACUUGGGAGGCUGAGGCAGGAGAAUUGCUUGAACCCAGGAGGCAGAGGUUGCAGUGAACCAAGAUCAUGCUAGUACACUCCAGCCUGGGCAACAGAGUGAGACUCCAUCUCAAAAAUAAAAUAAAUAAAACAAAAUAAAAUAAAUACAAUUUCUGUUUCUAGCCCCUAAGUGGUAGCACUGGGUCUUGUUCCCUGAAAAAAACUAGGCUCAGAAUCCACUCUCAUUUCAUCUCCCCUGAUUUGAUCUGAAAAGAUUUUGUUUAGAGUACUACAUGAAUAUAUUAUAAAACAUGGGACAAUCAGAAUUGAUAGUAAGAAGGCAAGUGGCUCUAUUUGUACUUCCUCUCAAUAGCUCCUAAAGGUAAUGCUACCAUUUUCUGUUUGUACAUAGUCUUCCAGACUUUAAAUUUUUGAACAUAUAAAUAUUAUCAUCUUAAAGACGUAUGGAAAAAACCAUUUUGAAUAGGUUAUUCCAAAAUGUAAUUUAACAGAUUGCUCUGGAGGAUUGUUUGUUUGUUUGUUUUGGAGACAGAGUCCCGCUUGGUUGCUCAGGCUGCAGUGCAGUGGCACAAACACAGCUCACUGCAACCUCUAACUCCUGCAAACACAGCUCACUGCAACCUCUAACUCCUGCAAACACAGCUCACUGCAACCUCUAACUCCUGCAAACACAGCUCACUGCAACCUCUAACUCCUGCAAACACAGCUCACUGCAACCUCUAACUCCUGGGCUCAAGCAGUCCUUUCACCUCAGCCUCCUGAGUAGCUGGACCAUGACACCUACCUAACUUUUUAUUUUUUGUAAAGAGGGGAAUCACUAUGUUGCCCAGGCUGGUCUCAAACUCCUGGGCUCAAGCAAUCCUUCCUCAGCCUCUCAAAGAGUUGGGUUUACAGGCGUGAGCCACCGCACCUGGCUCCUGGAGCAUUUCUGAUGUGAACAUGUGCUGAUCUAACACCACUCCUUUUACCAGCUGCCUGUUCUAGAGCAAACCAUCUUUUUUGAGCAUUCCACUUUGGCUAGGCCCUUAGGCUGUUAGCAGUUUUCAUCGCUACUGGCAAAGCUGCAGUGGACGUUCUCCUGCACAUAUAACCUCUUGAUGCCACUGUAUGAGUGAGUCUCUGCAAAAUGAGAAGUAGAAUUGCUGGGGUGAAAGGCAUACAUACUAACUUUUUUGAUUAAUUCCACCCAUGUACCCUGAUUUGGGCAGAAUUUUAAUCUCACUGUGAAAUCAGAGCUUUGUUCUAGAGCCUUUCUUGGGGGUUCCAUGGAUCAGUGGGUCAGCCGUCACUUGUGCCCUGGCCCAUCCUCUGUCCAGCUUGGGCAGCAUGCAUCAUUCAUUCUGAUUCCUUAAUUUGCCAUAUGUGAAAACAUGGUAAUCUAUACAUUACUUGGGUGCUAUUAUUAUAUAUAACUAGCUUUGGAGUCAGAAUUAGCGUCUCAUCCUGGCUCUACCACUUUCCAACUGUGCGACUGUGGCCAAGUGACUCCCCUUCUCUGAGCCUCAGUUUUCCUCUUCUGUAAAAUGGGGGUAAAGGGAUAAGAACUAUAGGGGGAUCUCAGGGGAUGGUUAAGAGAAAUCCAUGAGAUAAGCAAACACAUUAUCUAGUUUAGUAAAGCUAAGCAAUGAAGACUUAACAGCCCCAUGGUGAAGGCUUAAUACAUGGUAGCUAUAAUGAUUACUAUUAAUAUUGUGAAAUAAAAGGUUGUGAUGAACCAACCAUAUCUUCUCA
Molecule: long non-coding RNA, 3054 nt
Filed under: Homo sapiens (human)
Lineage: Eukaryota; Metazoa; Chordata; Mammalia; Primates; Hominidae
Description: non-protein coding lnc-TPST2-1:1
Source: RNAcentral